UACGGAGGGGGCCAGCGUUGUUCGGAAUUAUUGGGCGUAAAGGGCGCGUAGGCAGUCGGGUAAGUCUGACGUGAAAUCCCUUGGCUCAACCAAGGAACUGCGUCUUAAACUGCCCGGCUUGAGUCCGGGAGAGGGUAGUGGAAUUCCCAGUGUAGCGGUGAAAUGCGUAGAUAUUGGGAGGAACACCGGUGGCGAAGGCGGCUACCUGGACCGGUACUGACGCUGAGGCGCGAAAGCUAGGGUAGCAAACAGG
RNAcentral lists this ribosomal RNA (253 nucleotides) under uncultured bacterium. RNAcentral's name for it is "partial 16S ribosomal RNA". It matches the Rfam family "Bacterial small subunit ribosomal RNA", at positions 524 to 776 of the family's 1533-position model. The record is from RNAcentral.